GGGCUGGGCGGCAGCUACCAUGCAGUCGAGCGGCAGCACGGGGAGCUUGCUCCCUGGUGGCGAGCGGCGGACGGGUGAGUAAUGCAUAGGAAUCUGCCCGGUAGUGGGGGAUAACGUGGGGAAACCCACGCUAAUACCGCAUACGUCCUACGGGAGAAAGCGGAGGAUCUUCGGACUUCGCGCUAUCGGAUGAGCCUAUGUCGGAUUAGCUAGUUGGUAAGGUAAUGGCUUACCAAGGCGACGAUCCGUAGCUGGUCUGAGAGGAUGAUCAGCCACACUGGGACUGAGACACGGCCCAGACUCCUACGGGAGGCAGCAGUGGGGAAUAUUGGACAAUGGGCGAAAGCCUGAUCCAGCCAUGCCGCGUGUGUGAAGAAGGCUUUCGGGUUGUAAAGCACUUUCAGCGAGGAAGAAGGCCUCUGGGUUAAUACCCCAGAGGAAGGACAUCACUCGCAGAAGAAGCACCGGCUAACUCCGUGCCAGCAGCCGCGGUAAUACGGAGGGUGCGAGCGUUAAUCGGAAUUACUGGGCGUAAAGCGCGCGUAGGUGGCUUGGCACGCCGGUUGUGAAAGCCCCGGGCUCAACCUGGGAACGGCAUCCGGAACGGCCAGGCUAGAGUGCAGGAGAGGAAGGUAGAAUUCCCGGUGUAGCGGUGAAAUGCGUAGAGAUCGGGAGGAAUACCAGUGGCGAAGGCGGCCUUCUGGCCUGACACUGACACUGAGGUGCGAAAGCGUGGGUAGCAAACAGGAUUAGAUACCCUU
RNAcentral lists this ribosomal RNA (761 nucleotides) under Salinicola salarius. Its description in RNAcentral is "bacterial SSU rRNA". It matches the Rfam family "Bacterial small subunit ribosomal RNA", at positions 33 to 789 of the family's 1533-position model. Lineage: Bacteria; Pseudomonadati; Pseudomonadota; Gammaproteobacteria; Oceanospirillales; Halomonadaceae. The record is from RNAcentral.